This is a microRNA precursor of Anolis carolinensis (green anole), 88 nucleotides long. Lineage: Eukaryota; Metazoa; Chordata; Lepidosauria; Squamata; Anolidae. The record is from Ensembl.
GAAGGGGGGCACCUUUGGCCCUCCUGUUGCUGCUGGAGUCCAGCUCUCAAUCCAACAACAGCCGGAGGGCUGGAGGUUCCCCACCUCA